GCAGAUACAGAGCAACGUUAGCUUCCAUUUGAAGUCAUGUUCUGGCAUCUGAUAGAUUUGAGUUCUAUAUUUACGAAACAUAGUUUAGAAAUAUAUUGUUAAAAAACUCUUUAUUGCUCAGCUACAUUUACUAGCUAAUGGCUAAUUUUGUCUGUUAGCCAUUCGUUUCUGUGGAUAUUGGUCAACAGCGUGUCUUAGUUAGUUGAAUAAGUCAUCCUCACUCUCAGCCUCCUCUUCAGAGCUCGUCUCCUCCGGUCCGUGGACAGGUCCUGGAUGCUGGUGUGCGUCCUCCGUGGGAUGACAGGAGGACUGAUACUGCUCCAUGGCUUCAUACUCAUCAUCUGAGUGACCAGGAGGCUCAACGGAGAACUCGUUCACCUGACGGUUUAGGGAACAGCUGAGGGACGUGUGUGAGGAUGAACUCCACCACAAUGGACUGAACCCUGACCUCCAUGAAGGCUGCUGUACCGUUAAAACCUGACACCUCGAUGUCCUUUGACCUGAAUUUAAUGAAUAUUAGAGGGAAGAAUGGGAGAAAUUAAUCCCUCUUUUAGGAGAAUAAAUA
Long non-coding RNA from Notolabrus celidotus (New Zealand spotty), 565 nucleotides. RefSeq lists it as uncharacterized. The record is from RefSeq and is a predicted model, not a curated record. Lineage: Eukaryota; Metazoa; Chordata; Actinopteri; Labriformes; Labridae. The transcript is spliced from 4 exons.